RNAcentral lists this ribosomal RNA (274 nucleotides) under uncultured bacterium. RNAcentral's name for it is "partial 16S ribosomal RNA". It matches the Rfam family "Bacterial small subunit ribosomal RNA", at positions 523 to 796 of the family's 1533-position model. The record is from RNAcentral.
AUACGGAGGGUGCAAGCGUUGUUCGGAUUUACUGGGCGUAAAGCGCACGUAGGCGGACUGUCAAGUCGGGUUUGAAAACCAGUGGCUUAACCACUGGCCUGCACUCGAAACUGGUAGUCUUGAGUACUGGAGAGGAUGGCGGAAUUCCUGGUGUAGCGGUGAAAUGCGUAGAUAUCAGGAAGAACACCGGCGGCGAAGGCGGCCAUCUGGACGGAUACUGACGCUCAGGUGCGAAGGCUAGGGGAGCAAACAGGAUUAGAAACCCCAGUAGUCC